This 528-nucleotide small RNA is filed under the name Pan troglodytes (chimpanzee). RNAcentral's name for it is "processed transcript". Lineage: Eukaryota; Metazoa; Chordata; Mammalia; Primates; Hominidae. The record is from RNAcentral.
UAAUAAGAAAGCGGCUCCUACUCCAGGCUCAAACCUCCCUGCAGACCAAUGGACGCCUUCUAAGAGUUUGGCGAGUCAGUGACUGAAGCGCCCGUCCAUUCCAAGAGAAUCCAUCGGUCUACUGCAAGGUGACAUCUCAGCUAUCUAGGUGACCCAGUGUGAGACUGGAGGAAGAUGAAGGCAUCAGCUCAUCAGUGUCUAUGUACAGUUGGACCACACUGAGCAGCUGGAGACACCACUCCCUUGUCCUCAGGGAGCUUACAUUCUACUUGGGAGAUGCAAUUAAGAAACAAUGAAACAACAUGAGAUGAAGAAAGAAAAAAUUGUAUGAAACAUGAGAAAAUAUCUAAACAUUCUGAGAAGCAAGAAGGCUAUGAGGAGAUAUGUGACAGCAUUUUAGUGGCUUUCUUGAAUCAACAACUGCAUGAACAAGUAGAUUUUACCAUUAACUACUACCUGUACCCUACUUCAAAUCUCUUCAAUAGAAACCUAAAUAGAACUUGAGUCCUACUUGGAUGCUUCCACAUU